RNAcentral lists this ribosomal RNA (463 nucleotides) under uncultured bacterium. RNAcentral's name for it is "partial 16S ribosomal RNA". It matches the Rfam family "Bacterial small subunit ribosomal RNA", at positions 28 to 507 of the family's 1533-position model. The record is from RNAcentral.
GACGAACGCUGGCGGCGUGCUUAACACAUGCAAGUCGAACGGUAAACCUCUUCGGAGGGGCUCAUUGGCGAACGGGUUAGUAACACGUUGGCAACCUGCCCCCGACCCUCGGAUAACUCCAAGAUAUCGGGGCUAAUCCCGCGUUUUUACUGCUUCCCGCCUGGGGGGUGGUGCAAGGGGUUUCCGGCUCGGGAUAGGCUCGCGGCCUAUCAGCUUGUUGGUGGGGUAGUGGCAUACGAAGCCCACGACGGGUAGCCGACCUGGGAGGGUGACCGGCCACACUGGUCCUGAGAGACGGAGCAGACUGGAACGGGAGACAGCGGUGGGGAAUAUUACGCAAUGAGAGGACGUGGGUGGAAGCGACGCUGCGUUGGUGAUGACGGCUUUUGGGGUGAAAACCUCUUUCAGCAGAUACGCAGCGGAAGUGACGGUACCUGAAGAAGAAGCACCGGCUAACUACGUG